RNAcentral lists this transfer RNA (66 nucleotides) under Tubuca polita. RNAcentral describes it as "tRNA-Ala". The record is from RNAcentral. Lineage: Eukaryota; Metazoa; Arthropoda; Malacostraca; Decapoda; Ocypodidae.
AAGACCAUAGUCAAUACACAUGAUAUAUGAGUUGCAUUCAUAAGGAGUUACUUUUAACUGGUUUUA